AUCUUCGGAUAUGGGUAGAGCGGCGGACGGGUGAGUAACGCGUAGGAAUCUACCUAGUAGAAGGGGAUAGCCCGGGGAAACUCGGAUUAAUACCGUAUACCUCCUUCGGGAGAAAGAAGGCCUCUCUUUGAAGCUUUCGCUAUUAGAUGAGCCUGCGUAAGAUUAGCUUGUUGGUGAGGUAAAGGCUCACCAAGGCGACGAUCUUUAGCGGGUCUGAGAGGACGAUCCGCCACAUUGGGACUGAGACACGGCCCAGACUCCUACGGGAGGCAGCAGUGGGGAAUAUUGGACAAUGGGCGCAAGCCUGAUCCAGCCAUACCGCGUGUGUGAAGAAGGCCCUAGGGUUGUAAAGCACUUUAAGUUGGGAAGAAAAGUUAUUGGUUAAUACCCAAUAACCGUGACAUUACCAUCAGAAUAAGGACCGGCUAAUUCCGUGCCAGCAGCCGCGGUAAUACGGAAGGUCCAAGCGUUAAUCGGAAUUACUGGGCGUAAAGCGCGCGUAGGUGGUUUAUUAAGUUGGAUGUGAAAUCCCCGGGCUCAACCUGGGAACUGCAUCCAAAACUGAUUCACUAGAGUACGAUAGAGGGAGGUAGAAUUCACAGUGUAGCGGUGGAAUGCGUAGAUAUUGUGAAGAAUACCAAUGGCGAAGGCAGCCUCCUGGAUCUGUACUGACACUGAGGUGCGAAAGCGUGGGUAGCGAACAGGAUUAGAUACCCUGGUAGUCCACGCCGUAAACGAUGUCAACUAGCUGUUGGAGAACUAUGUUCUUCAGUGGCGCAGCUAACGUAGUAAGUUGACCGCCUGGGGGAGUACGGCCGCAAGGCUAAAACUCAAAUGAAUUGACGGGGACCCGCACAAGCGGUGGAACCAUGGUGGUUUAAUUCGAUGCAACGCGAAAAACCUUACCUAUACUUGACAUACUUGGAAUGCUUUGUAAAUGAAGCAGUGCCUUCGGGAGCCAAGAUACAGGUGC
RNAcentral lists this ribosomal RNA (973 nucleotides) under uncultured marine bacterium. Its description in RNAcentral is "bacterial SSU rRNA". It matches the Rfam family "Bacterial small subunit ribosomal RNA", at positions 76 to 1041 of the family's 1533-position model. The record is from RNAcentral.